Molecule: non-coding RNA, 398 nt
Organism: Parasteatoda tepidariorum (common house spider)
Lineage: Eukaryota; Metazoa; Arthropoda; Arachnida; Araneae; Theridiidae
Source: RefSeq, a predicted model, not a curated record
UAUUUAUUCAGAUUAAGCUUAGACGGACUUAAAAAAUUAGAGGAAGCUCAUUGGUCUGCAAAGUCUGAGGAUGUUCUUAUGUGCAAAUUAAAAGGAUAAAGUGAGGAAGAUUGUAUGAAUUAUCUAAAAGUGUUACUGAAUCACGGAAAUAAGUUAUUUGGUACGAAUGGAUUUUCAUCUGAAUGCUCUUGGAGAGAUGUACAGUCCAUAUGCUAACAGUACUGCACUAAUGACGACUCAAGGGGAGCCUCAACAACGAUUUCACAGAUCCUGUCAUUUUCAAAGGCCAGGAAAAAAACUCGAUUACUCGAAUAAUUGAUGCUCAUAAUAAUAAGAAUUGAAAUAAACAUAAUGUCACUGCAAAAUUUAUUUUUUCAAAUUAUCUUAUCUAAAUUAUA